UAUAAAUCAUAUACAAGUUUUUCUUAGUAACCGUUGCAACACUUUAAGGAAGUUAAAACACACCUCUCUUCAUUUUUUUUCCAAAACCUAGUUCGCUUUUUAUCUUCUAUUGAUAGUUCUCCCUUCUCCCCCUCUCAGACGCGUACAUUCAUGCCCUCACAAUCUUCGAGAUUGUAGUUAUAGGUUCCCUCACCACUUAAAUAUUCUAUCUUAUGGUUUUCUUCAACACUGGCUUCACCCUUUGUUGUGAGAUUCCUAUAGGAUUUGUUCAGAUUCCGGUGGAAGUUGUUGGUCCUUUGUUGCUAGACGGGAAAGAGUUCUGAUGACAGUGCUUCCACCAUUGUCCUCUGUUACGGCAUGACUAGACCACUUAUUGUUAGAUUCAAUUCUGACAAAAUAUUGAUUCCUCUGCUCACACUUUCAACAAAUUUGCGAGAUUACAAAGUAUAAAACCAACUAUAGUAUUGGACAAUGUCAUGGAGAAAUCUGCAGGAUUGUAUACUGAUCCUUUCCUUGUAUAAUUUAAUUCUAUUCCAUCAACUUCAAUGGGCAACUUCCUUAAAUAAGAACAUGAUGUCUUUACUGAAUGAAGAACCUAAAAGUCUCUCCAAUCAAAUUGGCAGAUUCCUUUUGAAGAGAAUAAAUGGUUGCAUAAAAAGUCUAUAGAUGUUUGAAUCUCACAUCUAAGUUGUGAUACUCUGUUUAUUUAUUCAACUUUGUUCUGGUCGGAUGGUUGCUUUAUACAUGAAGUGGAUUUGAUGUUUAAACAUAUCUUAGUGUGCUAGAAAA
Molecule: long non-coding RNA, 789 nt
Organism: Lathyrus oleraceus (garden pea)
Lineage: Eukaryota; Viridiplantae; Streptophyta; Magnoliopsida; Fabales; Fabaceae
Exons: 3
Source: RefSeq, a predicted model, not a curated record